AUGAUACCAGCUUCCAUCAGUCGCUUGUUAAAUUUUCACACCACACUGGAUACUUUCUCCUCAGCUGCCUCUCAUGUGUUGGUUGACUCCUUCAUAAACAGAACCGUUCGCUCUCUUCCUUUAAAUAUCUUCUUACGAGUUUUAUGCACUGUGAAGCUUAAAGCAAUCCAACUAGAAAAUAGUGAUAUUAUUCAGAACUCGAGCACACUCUUUUUGUUGUAUGCUUAUUCAUGGCCCAGCAUAACGAGAAGUGGAUCCAGGGUGAGGCCUCCUAAGAUUUGUGGUAAUGCAAAUAAAUAAUAAUGAAAGCUCAUUGGAUACCGCAGUGUAGCUGUUGGAUCCUGCUGUGCCUUGUGUCACAUCACAUUUAAUGCAGAAAAAAGGUGCUCCAAAGAGAAGCCUCACAAAAGGGAAAGAAGGGAGUCGCAGUGAACAGAUGAAAUGCUAGCCCCCAGGGGCCUUCUCAGCUGUCAGACCCAAGUCAAUAGCUACUGGCACUGCGUCCAGAAAGCAUCCCUUAUUCCUCUCCGUCUUCUCCCUCCUCACAGAAGGAAGUUAAUGUGAAUGUUACAAAGUUCUCUAGUGUGUACAAAAGCUUUAAGGACUUCCCAUACUUUGUAGCGUCCUUCUGCUGCUUAGUGCAUUCCCUUCCUGACACAGCAUCUCUUGGUACAGAAAUCUUGAAUAAGUACAAACAGUUGUUCAGGCCAUCCUGUUGGUCAGUCCUUGUUCAAACGCCACCUGAUUCUCUGUUGAGAAGGAACCUAUGCUAGUUUUGAUUUACUAUCUAGGUACAUUGCUACCUCAUACUGCUCUGUUUCCCUGGUACCUUGAAGAUCAUGAUUCUUCAGAAGAGUGGUAAGCAUGAAUUGCAUCAGGAAUUCCUCAGGUAUGUCACCCUCUUUCUGGAAGUGGGUCUGCAUGCGUCCCUUUCCUUUCUUUCCAGGGGACACUGAAAUAUCAGUGCCUAGAUGGCACAGAAAUGAUGGAAUGUUAGUGCCUCCCUGAUGCAGAGACAACAGAUUGGUCUGUGCGAUCAAUAGAAGAAACCACAAAACAUAAUUAUGAGUGUUUCCAUAUCUGAAUAGGAGAAGCCUGGUAAGAGCUCUAAACUAGCUGACGGGAUGGAGACAGUGACUGUGAAAUACUGUGGGAAACCAGAGAAGUCAUGCAGCCUAAAAGCUUGGUCAUAAUGAGAGAUCUUGGUUAUCAAUGUAUGGACUAGAUAAGCUUAACAUUAGGCUAUCAUGCAUAAGCUGUUCUUUUUUUAGGUACCAUCGAGAACUACUUUUUUGAGCAA
Molecule: long non-coding RNA, 1300 nt
Filed under: Anas platyrhynchos platyrhynchos (common mallard)
Lineage: Eukaryota; Metazoa; Chordata; Aves; Anseriformes; Anatidae
Description: lncRNA (ENSAPLG00000031209.1)
Source: RNAcentral